ACCAAGGCAACGAUCGGUAGCCGGACUGAGAGGUUGAACGGCCACAUUGGGACUGAGACACGGCCCAGACUCCUACGGGAGGCAGCAGUGGGGAAUAUUGCACAAUGGGGGGAACCCUGAUGCAGCGACGCUGCGUGGAGGAAGAAGGUCCUCGGAUUGUAAACUCCUGUUGUUGAGGAAGAUAAUGACGGUACUCAACAAGGAAGUGACGGCUAACUACGUGCCAGCAGCCGCGGUAAAACGUAGGUCACAAGCGUUGUCCGGAAUUACUGGGUGUAAAGGGAGCGCAGGCGGGCGAUCAAGUUGGAAGUGAAAUCCAUGGGCUCAACCCAUGAACUGCUUUCAAAACUGAUUGUCUUGAGUAGUGCAGAGGUAGGCGGAAUUCCCGGUGUAGCGGUGGAAUGCGUAGAUAUCGGGAGGAACACCAGUGGCGAAGGCGGCCUACUGGGCACCAACUGACGCUGAGGCUCGAAAGUGUGGGUAGCAAACAGGAUUAGAUACCCUGGUAGUCCACACCGUAAACGAUGAUUACUAGGUGUUGGAGGAUUGACCCCUUCAGUGCCGCAGUUAACACAAUAAGUAAUCCACCUGGGGAGUACGACCGCAAGGUUGAAACUCAAAGGAAUUGACGGGGGCCCGCACAAGCAGUGGAGUAUGUGGUUUAAUUCGACGCAACGCGAAGAACCUUACCAAGUCUUGACAUCCUGCGACGGACAUAGAAAUAUGUUUUUCCUUCGGGACGCAGAGACAGGUGGUGCAUGGUUGUCGUCAGCUCGUGUCGUGAGAUGUUGGGUUAAGUCCCGCAACGAGCGCAACCCUUAUGGUCAGUUACUACGCAAGAGGACUCUGGCCAGACUGCCGUUGACAAAACGGAGGAAGGUGGGGAUGACGUCAAAUCAUCAUGCCCUUUAUGACUUGGGCUACACACGUACUACAAUGGCGUUAAACAAAGAGAAGCAAGACCGCGAGGUGGAGCAAAACUCAGAAACAACGUCUCAGUUCGGACUGCAGGCUGCAACUCGCCUGCACGAAGUCGGAAUUGCUAGUAAUCGCAGAUCAGCAUGCUGCGGUGAAUACGUUCCCGGGCCUUGUACACACCGCCCGUCACACCAUGAGAGCCGGGGGGACCCGAAGUCGGUAGUCUAACCGCAAGGAGGACGCCGCCGAAGGUAAAACUGGUGAUUGGGGUGAAGUCGAAACAAGGUAGCCGUAGGAGUACCUGCGGCUG
RNAcentral lists this ribosomal RNA (1228 nucleotides) under metagenome. RNAcentral's name for it is "bacterial SSU rRNA". It matches the Rfam family "Bacterial small subunit ribosomal RNA", at positions 267 to 1520 of the family's 1533-position model. The record is from RNAcentral.